GAUGAACGCUAGCUACAGGCUUAACACAUGCAAGUCGAGGGGCAGCAUGGUCUUAGCUUGCUAAGGCCGAUGGCGACCGGCGCACGGGUGAGUAACACGUAUCCAACCUGCCGUCUACUCUUGGACAGCCUUCUGAAAGGAAGAUUAAUACAAGAUGGCAUCAUGAGUCCGCAUGUUCACAUGAUUAAAGGUAUUCCGGUAGACGAUGGGGAUGCGUUCCAUUAGAUAGUAGGCGGGGUAACGGCCCACCUAGUCUUCGAUGGAUAGGGGUUCUGAGAGGAAGGUCCCCCACAUUGGAACUGGGACACGGUCCAAACUCCUACGGGAGGCAGCAGUGAGGAAUAUUGGUCAAUGGGCGAGAGCCUGAACCAGCCAAGUAGCGUGAAGGAUGACUGCCCUAUGGGUUGUAAACUUCUUUUAUAAAGGAAUAAAGUCGGGUAGGGAUACCCGUUUGCAUGUACUUUAUGAAUAAGGAUCGGCUAACUCCGUG
Molecule: ribosomal RNA, 490 nt
Filed under: uncultured bacterium
Lineage: Bacteria
Description: partial 16S ribosomal RNA
Rfam family: Bacterial small subunit ribosomal RNA
Source: RNAcentral